This is a non-coding RNA of Paramormyrops kingsleyae, 998 nucleotides long. Lineage: Eukaryota; Metazoa; Chordata; Actinopteri; Osteoglossiformes; Mormyridae. The record is from RefSeq and is a predicted model, not a curated record.
CAUCUCCAACUCCCCAGGGCUGGAGCCAUCGUCCCCAUCAUUGACGGGACCAGACAUCUCCGUUUCCAUGCUGUGCUGUGGACGGAAACGGCCAAGGCAUCAAACCUCCAUCGCUUUCUGGGGGUUAGAAAUGCCCGUGACGAUGGUCCAACACAGAAGACUUACUGAAAUGUUAAAUCUUGCUGACCGUGGCUGCAAGGCAAGCAAACCCGAAUGUCAAUCCCCUCCAAACGGACAGGUCCGACACGCAGCAUCGCAACUUGCCGGAGAAAUAUUUCCAGAUCUUUAGCGGCAGCAUCACCAGACGGCAGUUUCACACUGAAUCGAGUUCCUCUCUGAGGCGAUGGUUCCGAGAAGCGGAGCCCCUGCUCUGAAUCAUAGUGAAGCCACCAGCCUCAAUGCUGGAUCUGGCCUCGUCUGAGUCACCAGCGCGCAUCUACUCAGCCAUCUGCAGUGAAUCUGCAGUGAACCUGCAGUGAACCUGCAGUGAACCCUCCAUGUCUUUAUUCCUUACGCUCCCCUCCAUGGAUGCUGAUCCUCAACACACUUUCAGAUCCUCAACAAGCCCAAGCCUCCUCCAUCACCAGGCAUUUGGAAAACAACUGGAAGAACUGAGGCCGUUCUCUCAAAAUAUUAUAGUGAAAUAUAUUUUAUAUACCCAUACAUGUGCCAGGCUGAAAGCUCAACCAAACCACACGAAGGGGAAUGGGUGUGCUGAUGGCGAUGGAGAAAAGGCGCUUAAGCGUGAAAGACAAAAUUCUAAGAAAGAAGAAAGUCAACACUGAAAGCUCACUUCAAUAUGGUGAUUAAAAGUAAAACUCUGAUAAAGCAUGCAAUCUCAUUUCAUUAGUGGUCUCAAAAUGAGUGGGUUGUUGAGUGGUACUGGAAUGUAUACACAGGCAAUAUUACAAAACACACAAUGACCUGGCAAGUGCUUCACACACACCUUGGACUGUUCUCAAAACACAAAUCUAUAAGGUUAAAAAAAAACAAAAAAA